This 1418-nucleotide ribosomal RNA is filed under the name Ramanella variegata (termite nest frog). RNAcentral's name for it is "partial 16S ribosomal RNA". It matches the Rfam family "Bacterial large subunit ribosomal RNA", at positions 150 to 2597 of the family's 2925-position model. Lineage: Eukaryota; Metazoa; Chordata; Amphibia; Anura; Microhylidae. The record is from RNAcentral.
GCCUAAAAUCUAGCUCGACACAACCACAUGUAACCUAUCCCCCCUACACUACCAAACAAAACAUUUUCCACAUUUAGUAUAGGCGAUCAAAAAAUGUCUAGAAGCAUUAGAAACUAGUACCGCAAGGGAAAGAUGAAAUAAAAAUGAAAUAAAUUUAAAGCAACACAAAGCAGAGCCUAACCCUCGUACCUUUUGCAUCAUGGUCUAGCUAGUCCAACCAAGCAAAAAGCAAUUUAAGUUUGACCCCCCGAAACUAAGCGAGCUACUUCAAAACAGCCUCAUGGGCCAACCCGUCUCUGUUGCAAAAGAGUGGGAAGAUUUUCAAGUAGAGAUGAUAUAUCUAACGAGCUUAGAGAUAGCUGGUUAUUCAAGACAAGGAUUUUAGUCCUUCCUUAAGCCACCUAAUAUUAUACAAUAUACCAAAUGACUUAAGAGCUAUUCAAAUAAGGUACAGCCUAUUUGAAACAGGAUACAACCUCCACCACAGGGUAAUGAACCAAACCCCGCGACUAAGUGGGCCUAAAAGCAGCCACCUUACAAAAAGCGUUAAAGCUUUAUCGCCACCCUAAAAUAAUUCCACCCCCACCACAAAACCCUUAACCCCUAUUGAAUGACUCCAUAUUAUUAUGGAAAACCAUAUGCUAGAACUAGUAACAAGAAGACGCCCUUCUCCAAAAUAUAAGUGUAAGCCAGAAUGAACUAUUCACCGGCACUUACCGCUAAUGACUUUAUAAUAGCAACUCAACAAGAAAACCCUAUUUCAACCCAGCGUUAACCUUACACCAGCGUAUUUCUGGAAAGAUUAAAAGGAGAAGAAGGAACUCGGCAAACCCCUAACCCCGCCUGUUUACCAAAAACAUCGCCUCUUGACCACACUAUAAGAGGUCCAGCCUGCCCAGUGACAAAGUUAAACGGCCGCGGUACCCUAACCGUGCGAAGGUAGCGCAAUCACUUGUUCUUUAAAUGAGGACUAGUAUGAAUGGCAUCACGAGGGUUAUACUGUCUCCUUCCCCCAAUCAGUGAAACUGACCCCCCCGUGAAGAGGCGGGGAUAAUCCUAUAAGACGAGAAGACCCCAUGGAGCUUUAAACUCAGCACCACUUGCCACCAACACACACCAUCUUAACUAGGCAAACCUGACUGCUAGUUUUCGGUUGGGGUGACCGCGGAGCAAAACAAAACCUCCACGAUGAAUGGACUUCACUUCCUAAUCAAAGAGCCACCACUCAAAGAAUCAACAAACUGACAUAACUUGACCCAAUUACUUUUGAUCAACGAACCAAGUUACCCUGGGGAUAACAGCGCAAUCCACUUCAAGAGCCCCUAUCGACAAGUGGGUUUACGACCUCGAUGUUGGAUCAGGGUAUCCCAGUGGUGCAGCCGCUACUAACGGUUCGUUUGUUCAACGAUUAAAACCCU